RNAcentral lists this long non-coding RNA (38623 nucleotides) under Panicum hallii. RNAcentral describes it as "long non-coding RNA (PHAL_LNC000218)". Lineage: Eukaryota; Viridiplantae; Streptophyta; Magnoliopsida; Poales; Poaceae. The record is from RNAcentral.
GGGGGCUAUACCUAGCCCCAUCUAGUAAUAUAGAUAGGUACAUGGACGCACAAAUGUGAGACUUAUCUAACAGUUGGUACCAAAAACUCUGUUAGCAGUUAAUGGAAAACACAAUAUAUAGAAAAUUCUCUUUGUCUAGGUGUAUGUGUUUUAAAGAACAUGCGUAUACAGGGUAAUUGCAAUCUUCAUACUAACGCCCGAAAUCAAUUGGUCAAACCCAAAGCGCCUAGUUAUCAAGACGAAGUUGUAAAGCAGACAAUGGUAUUUUGAACCUGUGACAUUUGUGUUACACUUCUCGAAGCUAUGCCACCUGGCCUGAGCCAGGAUGGUCCGUGGGUGGCACGGGGAUUUUAACCUGGGAGAAUGUCUAAAAUGGACAAGUAUAGGAUAUGGAAAGAUUUCACAAAUAUAAAAAAACACUUUAUGUUAUCAGGAAUUCUAAGCUAACCUUUGACUUUCACUUAAGGUUGAUUAACAGCAAACCUUUGAAAAGAAAUAUCAAUGGUUAAAUUGCUGACAUUCUACUUAUAAUGUUUUCUCCUGUUAGGUAUCAGAUAUCAACUUUGGCAACAAAACUUGGUGUCAGAAACAUUGCCUUCCUUGGCUCUGGUUUAUUGGUAGCAAAUUACAUUGCUGCUAUUGUUGUAGCUUUUCUCAUGCCUCAGGUAUCUUACUGCUACCUUUGACCUCCCUUGUAGCUUCUUUUCUCCUUCUGGCUAAAGAGACACGAACCCAACAAGUGUUGUACAUAAUAUGCAUUUUACUGGAAUCAUUUCCAGUACCUUGUUUUUGCAUAUCUUUAAUUCAACUCCAGUAAACCCUUAGAUGGUAGAAACACAAAUAGGGACUAUUAUACUACUACCUUACUGCUACUCACAGUUUUAGUAUGCACUUCCAUAAACAGUGUUACGAUUUGGAAGAUGCAAAAGCACUUGUAAAUGUAGGUAUAUGCACUAUCUUAGCCUCCAAAGGGCAUCAAGAUUUAUUCAAGGUUAUUGCAAUGAGUAGCAAACAGGAUUGUGGUUUGAAUAUUUAAAGUUAUCAUCAAUCUUGUGGCAUGUUUGAUGAUUAUGAUUGUAGGUGCAGUCAUGUACCUGCAUGUAAAUUUUGAAAGAUGUGCACCUUUUCUUCCUCAAUUUCACGCAACAUGUUCAAUUAAUAUGGCCUCUAUCCCAUUCUGUCACUUCUCCCAUGGUUGAUCUUGGACACUUUUUAUAUAAUCCCACAAUUUUUUUCUCGUUUAUAUUUAUGCUGUAAAAAUGCAUUCAUUCAGACUCUUAGUGAUGAUUUGUUACUGUAAUUUUGUCUUUUGUCCAAUAUGCCAAAUAGUCUCAUGAAUUUUCUUAUAUUUCUGAAGUAUAUCAGCAUGAAGGAUUGCUGUUCUUUCCAUUGGAUUUUCCAGAACAGUGUGCAUGCUUCAAUAUAGGUAGCGUUACAUGGCUCCUUUUGCACUAAUAUUUUCUAAUUUGCAGGCCUUCAGGCGCACUGUCAUGGUCCCUGUGCAUGUUGCCCUUGCAGCUGGUUUAAUUUUCCAGGUAAACAUGUUUAGUAUUGUGAAUGAUCUAUCCUGCAGCUUAUGUUCUUAUUGUUUCUUCUUAAUAUAGAGAUACGCAGCUCUCUUGCGUGUUUGAGAACAUGUUCAUAAUUGUUCGAUGCAAAGCUAUGUGAUUAGUGAAUUGGACUAAUCAGUAUUAUAACCUUGCUUCUGUGGCAUUUGUGUUCUAGUUCUGACAUGUUUGUUCUCUACCAUGAUUUCAGACAUGGGUUCUGGAGCAAGCGAAGUACACUAAGGUGAAUCAUUUUUUACUUGCAUGGUGUAUUUGUUUAAUCUUUUUCUUCAUGGAAGAUCACUUGCAAAAGUAUUUGUGAUAUCUGGGGGCAAAAACUUAUGAUAAAAGGGUGGUUCUUUUGUUUAGUGACCAUAUGUGCCUCAUUUCUAAUUUAGAAGUUUGCCUUCAUCUGUUUUACAGGAUGCUAUUUCGCAAUAUUAUCGGUUCAUCUGGAAUCUCUUCUAUGCUGAAUAUAUCUUCUUUCCGUUGAUAUAGAGCCUAGAGGUAACUUUCUUUUAUUAGCAUUUGACCAUACUUUUAAAUUUCGUUUACUUCCAAGAUUUUAUUUCAUAAAAAUUCUCAGAUCUGGUAGUUCAGACUUCAGAGUGGGCUACAGCCUAAUGAUGGGAGCAAAUCAAAAAGGGAGGAGUCGAUAAAGUGCAGGGGCGAUCAUAGUCGGCUGAUGCCCCUUUUGUGCAUAUGAAGCGUACUUGUUGUGCAUAUGUUGUACGGAAACAAAAUGCAGUGAUGUUUCAAGGAUCCUGGAGUUUUAGGAGCUUGGGAAGCUUUUGUCAUGCUGAGGGUGAGGGCUUUAACUUGUUGGAGCUGCGGUAGCUGGCUUUGGCACAAAUUCAACAGUGCCCCGUUCUGUAGGGUCUUGUCUGGGAGGGCUUGAGCUCAGGUCUGACGUCGAUGGAAACUCAAGCUAGUUCUGGCCCGAAACAGGUGGUGGUGCUGGUGCUGGUGCAGCGGCCAAGCCAACUAGCCAAGCACGUUUCUUGUCACUCGAGGUUAAGCUAGUAUAUAUGCGAGACAUAUUGAUGGCGUGCCCUCACGAGUCACGCGAAUACAGACCACGGACUACUAGUAUCCCCUUGGCUUAUACUGCAUAUAUAUUUCUUGAGCUUCAGCUGUACCUGUUGUAUAGCAGGAACCACUGUCUUUUCCACCGUUCGAUCUGGAAGGACUGAAAGUUCCUCCAUGUGUCAUCAUUUGUCUGCAUCAUGUCAGCUAGCUUCGUGACAUACUAUAGCAAUGCGGCCAAGAGCCAGGGAGGCAGGGAGCUACAGGCAGCGGUCGCACGAUGCUCGGCCUCCGCCGUCGGUCACAACGUGCGACGAGGCGGCUGUUCGAGCGGAAGUUGUGGGGAGGAAGGCGCGCAUGGCGAGGUGCCGGCACGCAUGGUCGCGGACUGGGACGGCGGAGCCGGGCUGUUCCCAGCGUGGGAGGUAGCCUCCCGGCUCCGCUGCCGCUGUCCCCGGCGGACUCGGGCUCCCGGAGCCGCCCUCACCGGCCGCACCAAACACACAGCGGCAGGCGUUCCUUCCAGCUGUGGUCCGAGCCCGGGUGAUGUUUGCCUCUUUCUUCGGCAAUUGAACAUUUGAACCUGUAUGGGAAAUGCUCUUGUCAUCUCAACGAUCAAACUGCUGUCAUCUUAUCUGCUGCGCCCUGGAAUUUGCUCAAAAAACAUGGAGAACGGAGAGCCACGGCGGCACGGCCGGCGGAGCCGCGGCCGCCCACGCUGUGCCACUUCCACGACACGCGGGGCGUGGCAAGGCUCGCCAGGGACGUGGCUCACCUGAAGGACGUCGCCGUCGAUCGCGACGCCAGGAGAGGUUGCGCUAGGGCCUUGGAAGUUCUGCAUGCGUAGGGCGCACCCGGCGGUGGCAUUCGACGCAAAGAGCAAACACGAUGAUCUUGAUCGGCGGGAUGAAGGUACGCCACUGGCCGAGGAUUGCGUAUAGUUUGGUUUGGUUUUGAGGCAGAGGGGGGUGUUGCAUCGGGCAGGAGUUGCUACAGCACGAUGGAUUGGUGCUCGCUUGUCCGGAUUGGGAGACCAUCUUUUGCUUGCUCUAAAGCAAACACCACACCAGGAACAACACAUCGUUCCUAAAACCCUGGCUUACAUAGCAGCAAGAACCAUGUCUCAACUCUCAACGCACCAUGACAAAACCCUGGCUUACAUAGCUAAAAUGCAGCAAGAACCAUGUCUUAAUAACGCACCAUGACAAACAUUUUUUCUGAUGCAAACUAGAACAAACUUAACUACUAAAACAAGCUAGUAGAAUUUGCAAUCGUUGGACACCGCGCAGCUCGCUCGGUAGCCGCCCUCGAGCAGCUUCACGAGACGAACCUGACGAUCUGCUCCUGGCGUUGCAGCUUGCGGGCGACCUCGGAAGAGACGAAGGCGUCGACGCAGGCAUAGAUGAUCUGCUCGUCGCUGAGGCCUGAGGCUGCGCGUCCCAGCGGCUCAUGGUCACCCUGUGCGGCUUCGCGAGGUCGACGCCCAAGAUGGCGGCAACGAUGGCGCGCAGCCCAGCCUGGCAGAGGUCUGGGCGGCCGCCCAUGUACUCCUCCGCAUAGCCCCGCAGGUCCACCGCCCUGCCUACCUCCAGGCCGUAAAUUUUGUUUCCAGUACAUGGAUUAGGAUUUUAAAAGAUCAAACCUCGUAAAUUAUGACGAACAGUUAAUCAGACUACAUGCAAAGUUGAUACUGCAUCUACAAACGAAUGGACGUAGUGUUUUCUUUUUGCACCACAAUAACCUCGUUCUGGUUUUGCGCACAGCAUAACUCCCAAUCAUAUCCACUGCCAUCAUGAACAUAAGUUUGUACUGCAUCUUUCAAGUGUCUUCAACCAUUUCCCGUAACAGCACCGAGUACCAUAACAAACUUGAGGUAGUUCCAGCCUUCCAGCAGAGACAUCCACAUCGAAGAAAGGAAUUUAGCAUACAUAUAUCAAUAUAAUGUACCCACGGUUUACAAUAAAACUGUAGCAAGAUACAAUCUAUCCAUGUUCCUUUUACUGGGCUGCAGCACCAAAAUUAUCCAACUGGAUGAUACAACAACAAAAUCAGUUACAUAGUUUGGGGUUUAAUUCCCCUCGACGCCUGCUGCUGUCACUGCUGGUCCUUUGCCUACCCAGUAUUUGUAAGCAGCAUAAACAGAGGACACGACUACGGCGCCAAGGACCAAGUAAGUGAAGAUCGUGGCCACACUGAUUUGGCUGGGGCCCUUCUUCACUUUGCUUUGUGCCAGCAACGCCUUUGGCUUGAGCUUGGCCAUGCUGCGCUUCUGAUAAUGCCAAGCGAAAAGGACAGAAUCAGUGUAAGCAAGUUGUGGAUAGUACCAAAAAGAAAAAGACAAGCAUGGUUUUUGUUGGGCCAGUGUCAAUCAAAAAAAAAUCAACAGUAAGUCUGUAGCUACAAUGCAUCAGGUUGUCAAAAAUAAAAAUGUUGCUAAGGUGAUUGUUUCUUUCAAGCUACUAAUACCUGAUUCAUAGUGUAAAAUAGGUAGUAGAAUACGGUAAUCUGAAAAUUUGAAACAGGUAUAUAACGGAGGCAAUGGUGGGAUCAGAACUUCAGGUUGCAAGUGUUCCAUGUGGGGCACAAAAUGGAACUGCUGGCAAACUUUGCAUCUUGAUUGAACCAAAGUUCCAAUUGGUUUACAAACAUUCACAGAGUACAGUCUCUUGGUCUUAUGUAAAUAGCAAUAUGAUUCAAAAGAGGAGCUUAACAAAAUAACAAGUGAUGAAUGGGGCUGGGUGCAAAUAGCGUGACAGCAUUUAGAUUCGUGCACUCAAAAGUUGCUGACAUGCAAACUAUUGGAUUUUUCAUUUAUAGCUGAAAGACUUGUUGGACAGGACAGAUAAAAGAUGAUAGUCUCAUGGAGUUACAUGAUUAUUGAAACAAGAGGCAAAGAACCCACUUGAAAACUCCAUCCACAACAUAAGUUUCAGGUAAGUGUUACUUGUAUGAUAUUGCAUAGGGGACAAUUUGAUGGACAUAAAUAAAAAAAUCGUGAAUCAAUUUCUACAACUUUGCAGCCUGAAUUAACUUAUGCACUCAAUCAAUUUACUUGCUUCAUAGGAAGCAGCAACUAGCUAAUCAAACAAGUCAUUCCUCCUUUCCAUCCUCUCUUACUACUUCAGAAUUCAGUUGUGGCCAAGGCAAGUUCAUACUUUGUUUUAGUGGAAGUUUGAAAUUUCAGCUACCAUACUUAACUACAUUAAAGUGGAAAAGGACCAUCAGGAAAUGAUUAAGGAAAGAUAAUUCAAUCAUGAAACAUAGUUCUCAACAAGAACAACUUUGGACAGCAUAUUUUCAUUUUGCUCUGUAAAUGCAAGUGCUAGAUACAAAAAGCACAAGGAUACACUAGCUUUUUAAAAAAAGUUAUAUCAUGAACGGUGUCUUAAACUAUAUAUAUUCACUUGUCACCUCAGAGCACCUUCCAAGCCAAUAUUGUUCGUAUGAAAAACUAAAUGCAAGAUUGGAGAGCAUAUCAACCGCUUGUUAUCUAAAGCAGCUUCCUUUGCUAGAUGGCACAAUGAUUCUCUGUCUUACUUAUGGGUGCAGCCUUUCAAACAAAAAUUAUGUGGUGCAGACCAAGGUUCUGCGUACUGGGCAUAUCCUCAUAGUUCGAUACACCCCAUUUCCGACUGGGUCAAAGACGACAAUCAGACUAAGCAUGACCAGGGAGGGCAGACUUAGCGGAGGGUGCAGGGAUCCAGAUGCAGCACCAAAUUUCCUUGGGGGAAAGAAUGCUAUCAAGUGGUCCACCACGCCCAGGGACAGGGCUUGGUUGGGAGUCAACAUGGGAUGGGAUGGGGUCAUCCCUAUUUUCUAGGAUGAAAUGAUUCCCUCUCACGUUUGGUUGCAGGGUUGGGUUCAUCCCUUUUUUUUGUUUGGUUGGAGGGAUGAGAGGGGAUAGGAUGAUCCCAUCUCAUGUUUGGUUGGAGGGAUGAGGAUAAAUAACUAGAUAUGGUCACUUGCAUUGUACUCCUGGUAAGCUUACCUCAUUUGUACACAAAAAAAAAAAAUUGCAGCUUUUGCUUAGGCUAGUCACUUUGAUUGAUAAAGCAACAUGCUAGCUAAUAUAGAGUGUAACCAUAUAAGCUCCAAAACCGAAUAUUACAACCUCCAGAAACAUGCCACGAUGCUCCAAAAUUGAAUAAUAUAGAGUCAAAUUUUCUAUUGGAACCAUACAUACCAUUGGAACAAGCAAAAUCAUAUUGUCCCAUAUCCAUCCAGACCAUUGGAACCAUACAGACCCAUCCAAGAAUCCAUAUAUACGUAAUCUGACACAAGAAUCCAGACCCUCGACUAGCAAGCAAAAGAACCAAAUCACAUAUGGAGUCACAUAUAUCAUAUUUAGGCAUUCAAACCAUAUUAUACUGUCACAUAGACAAUACUAACCAUACAUGCUGGGUGAGACAUAGACAAAAUUGCUUCAGCUAAGCAUAGACAAAAUGGCUAGCUGCUCACUAGUUGAAUGCUAAUAAAGGCAGGCAACAAAUAUAAGCCUAAUGCUAAUAAAGGCAGGCAACAAAUAUAAGCCUACAACAAGCUAACACAUCCUAACAGGGUGAUACAUCAUGAAUUUUGUUCAGUAACAUCAAGCAAGCACAACCACCAAGAUCAAACCUUUUUACAUACCCACCCAAUCCAGUAAAAUUUCAAGCACCAAGAAACGCAGUAAAAUUUCAGGCAGUAAAAUUUUCUUGCAUGGAGAGACUCUGGUCACCAGGAGCUGUGCGACAUAUCAGUGUGACGAUCGCUAGCACAUAGCACAUAGUCCAAUUCAACAACUAACAAGGGCAGAGCAUAUCUAUGUGCAUUCGUAAUCAUCUAGCAUAAUCAUACUGUUCCAACCCAAAUCAUUUUGACCUUUACCAGUGAUCAUGAGCAUGGAAUAGCAUCAGAAACAAAACACAUCACAACAUGCCUACCAAACAUCACAACAACAGGCUAGGGUUUCAUACCUUGGGAUCUCACUAUGAUGCAGAACGAGGAUCUGCACUGGGUGUUCUUGGCGUGGGAUCCAGAUGCAUCCUCAAAAUUUUUGGGGGAAAUUUUGCUAUCCCGUGAUCCACACAACGCAGCAAACAAAGCGGACGGAGUGGAACAUCCACCUCAGGAAGAAAUACUUGGAAUUCAACUUCUCUCUACCUCCAAGCAACAAACAAAGGGAAGAGCGGGACAGGAACGGAUCCAGAGCACGCGAAUUUUGCACGGGCUUGCCGUUGGGAACCAACUAAGCACGGGUAGCUUAUCAGGGCAUCAGGCUAACCCUGGAAGUACGAGCAGGAGUACAGGGCCGCAAAUCCACAAGCGAUCCCGCCACCAUAGGCGUUGGUUGCUACGGUUUGGACGGAUCCAUGCACAACGGAUAAAAAUAGCGACGAACUAGCGGAUCGGAACGGGAACCGCGCCGCUCACAUCCCUCAACCCGUACACGCGAAGCUAGGGAUUCCUCACCUAGGAACCGGAGUCUGCACCCCAAGCGGCGGACGAGCGAGGACGACGAGGGAGUCGAGGACGAGGCGGCGGGCGCCUCUACCGCUACGGGCGAAUGUAUGGAAUAGUCUCGGGGGGAGACCGCAAGGGAUUGCCUGGACUGGAUCUGGAUCUGGAUCGAGGCGUGUUGGAAGCAGGGACGAAACGCCGAGGCCCGAGGCCGAGACGCGGCUGUGCGCCACCGUCCGCUGGGUUUAGCCCGGGUGGGAGCUCGUCGCUCGAUCAGGUUCGGCUGGCCUGGUGCGUGAGCUGUCCGGCUGCUGGUGUUGGCUGACUGGGAGGGGGGUUCUGCCACAUGGAACCCAUUUGCUUGGACAAUUAUACCACACAAUAUGACAAGACACGUACUCUAUUUUAUUAUCAGAGAAAAUAAAAAGAUUAUACACCAUAUCAGGUCACGUAAUUUAAUUUACUGCACCAACAUUAGUGACACUUGUUGCAUAAUUGCAGAACACAGACCACCCUAUUUACCAGAUCAGAUCACGUAAUUUAAUUUACUGCACCAACAUUAGAGACAUUUCUGUAUAGUUGCAGAACACAGACCACCCUAUCACGUCAUGUACUUCAAUUUACUGCCACACGCGAAUUUCGCACGGCUUGUCGUUAGGCACCAACUAAAGCACAGAUGGUUUAUCAGGUUAACCCUGCAAAUACGCCGCAACUCCAUAAGUGAUCCCGCCACCCGUAGGCGUUGCUGUAGUCCGGACGGAUCCAUCCGUAGCAGAUAAAAAAACGACGAACUAACGGAUCAGAGCCGGAGAAAUAACUAAACUACGCUUCCAUAGCGAACACAAUUCCUCGAUCCGGCUAAGCGAAACUAGACAUUCCUUACUAGGGAAGGGAGAGAGCAGCCCACGUACGGACUAACGAGCGCCCCCCUUUGUGAUGGAGGACGACAAGCGAGUGGAGGACGAGGAUGCGGACGAGGCGGAGGGCCCUUUUGCACUCUCAGGACAAAAGGGGGUUCCUUAAGGCGGUAAGCGCUUGCCAUUUCCUCCAUGAUUAGCUUUCGAGCGAAUCGAAGGUCGCAUUGGCUCGGGCUUGUCACCAAUUGAUCCAGUGAUCGGACAGUGACAGCAUCAGGAAUUCAGGAUUCAGAGCACUGAUGGUGUCGGUCGAUACCUGAUCGACCUAUCGAUCCCAAGCAAGCAAGCAGGUGGUAUCCCGGUGCACGGAGGUGAUCCGCGGGCCCGGGGCAGAUUGUGCGUGAUGGCGUGGAUGAUGCAUCGGGUGCGUGAUCGCGAGAUGCUCUGGCGGCCUGGCUACUUCCGGAGCUGAAAAGGGUGCGCGUGGGGGCGGCCGGGCGACCAUCGUGUGCUCUCGGAGCCAUAGCUACCAUAGAUAGCAAGCUCGGGGCAUGACUCGUCGUGACGGCAGUAGGUGGAUGCACCAGACACUCAAGGUGUCUAUUCCAUCCCAGUUCGUUUUGGCGCCGCGGGCUUGUAGAUGCGCUCGAAUCGAAUCGGUGCUGAUCCUGAACCUCUGCUCCGCUGAAGUCUUACAGUAAGGGCACUUGGUUGGUGGGACCACCUUGUCAGUAUUACAAGCAGACGCGGAAUAGUCAAAACUCAAAAGCCUCCACCGGCUCCCGUUGGCCAAGUCGGGUCCAGCCAGCAGCCCGAUGAGGCCCAGCAGGCCUGUACCAUCUCGGCCCGUGCAUGACAGCGGCUGCCGACCGAGGAUUCAUCCCAAACGCUCCUGAUGGUGCUUUGUGCGGUCGCAAAGUUGCCACGGGUUUCCACUCUAGGAUUAAGCUGUUCUCGUCGUUUUACACGGUGGCUUCGGUAAGCACACACAACGCAUACCGGGACAACAAAAGGAGUGCUGGGGGGAGAAAAAAAAUACACAUUUCUUCUUCGAGAAAGGAGAAAAAGGAAGCCAGCUUUGAGCCAAAGAACGACUAUAACAAGCACAUCACGACCAGCACAGUUCACAGACACUUCAGUUAUUGAGCAACCAGCAGCUGAGAACAAGAACAGCAUGUAGCACUACCACGAACAACACAUUGGGCGAAAAGAAAUUCACACCGUCAUAGACUAAUAUUUUUUUAGAUGAUGAGCUCGUAAGUUAGUUAACUAGCUAGCAGCUGGCAUUUCUGAGUUCUGACGACAGGCUGCCCGCGCCCAGCCGGGGAGCUUGUCGAGGCGCACGUUUUUGGUGGCGACGGCGAGCGCGGCCACGACGCCGACCCAGACGGCGAGGUCCACGGCCAGCGAGGUGCGCUGCUACGACGCCAGGAACGUGAGCACGAGGCUAGCGUAGGCCACCAGAACGCGCCCCGCACGAGGCGCGACUUGGGGGGCACCCCCGUGAGCAGCCCCACGGUGAGGAGCGUGGAGGCGCCGAACGCCACCCAGCUCCCCGCCAUGAACAGCCAGUACCGCCGUCCGUACUUGUCCCGCAUGAUCGGGUCGCCGGCGGCGUGCCCCGCGGCGUCGUCCUGCCAGUACCCGCCCGGGAUGUUGGUCCCCAGCUGGUAGGACAGCCCCGAGAUCAGCGUCGGCACCACCAGCAGCGUGUCCCUGGUGUUCGUCGCGAAGUCCGGCGCAUGCCCGCCGCCGCCGGCGGCGUUCUGCAGGCGAUGGUCGCCGCCCUGCUGCCGCUGCUGGUCUAGCUCUGACCCCGGCAUUUGGACGUGGACACCAUUGCCGGCGGCGUACAUCUCUCUUGCUCGCAGCCCUCCGCGUGCCCAAAGUGCAAGAUUUCUCUAAGUACUCCUAGCUAGUCGAUCCAGAGGCCUCUCGGCGAUGUUCUUGCGAGCAUCUUAAACCUUGCGGGCACAUUUAUAUAGGCGGACAUGGGUGAUUGUUCCCCUUCGUUUCUGCCCAUGUAUAGUAAAGUAAUUUCUUCGAAGGACGCAGUAAGCGCCACUUGACACUGGACUUGAGAGGUCAAGUGGUUGUCUGACAGCCCUGGUACUCUCUCUGAGCAGCGAACACCGAAGACCCUGGCAAGUCCAUGUCUACUCAUUCAUACCCUCUCGCCGCUUCCGUUUAUCUGUGGCUAGCUUCUCUGUUCUCGCUCUCCUUGUUGGUCCUCGUGAAGCACAUGCCAUUCAGUAAACAGAGAUUGUGAAGUAACAAUGCUGUCAAGUGAAACCUAAGAAUUUCGCAAAAAAGAAGUGAAGCCUAAGAAAAUGAGAGGAAUCUGUCACUGUGAGUUACUAGAUGCUAUGGAAGUUCAUUUCCACUUUCCCAGUGUCGGCAAAGCUGCAGAAAUUUACACAUUUACGGGCGGUGCCUUGCUUGGCUGCUUGUAUCAUUCAUUCAUUAGGUACAUAUAGGUCUAGAAUUACUACGUUAACAAGAAUCUACGGGAUUUGACCGCCCAGGUUGGGCUGCUACGGGAGCAUUAUUUUUUUUUUGAGUCUUAUGCCAAUUUCCGCAUUUGGGCACGCCAGCACUUGAGGCUCAUCCAAAGUCGAAACGCUGGGGCUGGUGUCAGUCAACGGUCUAUAUUUAUUUGGCUUGGGAAUAAAAUGCACAGGUGUCUCUCGAACUUGGCUUGUAGCAUAGAUCUAGAUUUUUAAACUUGUUAAACAUAUCAAAUGAGAUCUAAAUCACCAUAUUUUAAGUUAAAGUGAAAGUGUUUCUACCGACGGGGAGCUUACACAUGGAUCCAAAUUUUAUUAUUGAUUUUUUUGCUAAACUCUUAUAUUUUCUAAAUUUACUUCAAAAUUUUGUUUCAAAACUUUAUGCCUGAAAUUUUUUUCAAUGUUUCCUCCAAAAUUUAUCCUUUUUUAUUUUAUCUUUUUUACCUAUUUUGUGAUAUGGGUUUCGUUUUCGUAUAAUCUUUAUAUACAGAUUUUUUGUAUUUGAGUAUAUUUAUUCAAGCAAGUUUGUUAUGAUAUUUUUGCAUUUAUACAUUUUGUAUAUAAUUUUAUAUUUGAAUAAAUUAUAUAAUUUUAGAUUUAUUUUAAGCAAUUGUGAUUUGAACCUCACAUGAUACGAUUAGUAAGUUUAAAGAUCUAAAUAUGUAUUUUAAAAAUUUGAAGACGUAGAUAACAUCCUCGAAUACUCGAGUUCAAGUAGGGUGAGCACGACCGUGACAACGACCCAGAUGACGAGGACCAUUGCCAGCGACGUGCGUGGCUGUGACGUCACGAACGUGAGCACGAGGCUGGAGUACGCCCACCGCCUACCACGAACGAGCUCAGCACGAGCCGCCGCGGCGUGGGCGCGCCCGUGAGCGGCCCCGGGUGAGCAGCAUCGAGCUGCCGCCAUGAACAGCCAGUACCGCCGCCGGUGCUCAUCCCGCAUGAGCGGGUCGUCGGCGACGUGCCCAUUGUCCUCGUUCUUGGUUGCUUGAUGGUUUCCCUGAAGACCUGAAGUGUGUGCCAUUCAGCAAUGCACACGACCUGUUUGAUAAUAAUACUGUCAACUGGAGACUUCAAGUGGAACCUAAGAAAUUGAAAAUGAAUCUGUGAGACUGACGUAGAUUCUAUGGAAGUUCUUGUUCAGUGCCUGAAAAACCUGAAGAUCUUCACGCGUCGUCAUGGUUGCUGCCUGGUCAGCCGCCGGUCCGCCCUCCUAUCCCUGCCGCGUGCGCUAGACGACGCGCGCGCACGGCCCGAGCGCCCGAGCCCGACGACCGCACGCCGCGUCCUCGUACCGUCGUGUCGUCCUUGGCGUGGGCCCUGCCGCCCGACCGGGACCCUCGGCAAAGCUUUCGGCGUGUUGCUGCUUGGUCGCCCGCGAUAGCUGCCAAUGGCGGCACGCCGCGGCCCGGCCGCCGGGCCGGAUUGCUUCGCACGCUCCAAGAUGUGUUUUGCUCCGAGCUGCUGGCCGAGGAUUCAUCCGAAAUGCUCAAUGGCGGAUUGUGAGGUUGCAAAGUUGCAACUGGUUUCCACUCCCCACUCCGGAUAGGUUGUUCUCGUCGUUUUACACUAUGGCUUUGGCAAACAAACACAACAUACCGGGACAACAAAAAGAAUGCUGGAGUGGGAAAAAAAAGACACUACUAUACAUUUCGCCCCAAGAAGAAACAAACACCCUGUACUUAUUGAUUGAGCAACCAGCAGCGGAGAACGAGAACAAGAACAAGGACAACAACUACCACCACACCCUUUUUAACAGAACAUUAGGCAAAAAAGAAAAAAAAAUCACACUGUUACUAGUACAAGCUCACGGUGCUACGGUGGGAUUAACGACCCAGCAGCUGACGAAAAGCUGCCUGCGCCCACCUGGGGAGCCUGUCGAGGCGCAGGUACGAGGUGACGACGGCGAGCGCGGCCAUGACGCCGACCCAGAUGGCGAUGUCCAUGGCGAGCGAGGUGCGCGGCUGCGACGUCACGAACGUGAGCACGAGGCUGGAGUAGGCCACCAGGAACGCGCCCCGGACGAACUGGGACCUGGCGGGCACCCCCGUGAGGAGCCCCACCGUGAGCAGCAUCGAGCUGCCGAACCCGGCCCAGCUCGCCGCCAUGAACAGCCAGUACCGCCGCCGGUGCUUGUCCCGCAUGAUCGGGUCGCCGGCGGCGUGCCCCGCGCCGUCGUCCUGCCAGUACCCGCCCGGGAUGUUGGUCCCCAGCUGGUAGGACAGCGCCGUGAUCAGCGUCGCCACCACCAGCAGCGUCCCCGCGUCGUUCGCGUCGAAGUUGGGUGCGUGCGGGCCGCCGCCGCCGCCGCCAGCAUUCUGCGGGGGGUUGUCGCCGCCCGGCUGCUGGCCCAACUCCACCAUCAGGACGUGGUCGCCGUUGCCGGCGCCGUCGUCCAUCCAUCUCGCUCGGAGCUCCGCGCGUGACCAAAUUAAAGCGCAAGAUUUCUAGGUACCCGCGCGUGACCAAAUUAAAGCGCAAGAUUUCUAGGUACUCUUCCUGCGCGCUUCUUGAACCUUGCGCGCACAAUUAUAUAGGACUAUGUGAGGAGCUUGGUGACUCCCUUGUUGCUUCCCAUGGAAGGUAGUACUAGUAGUGAAGUAAUUUCCUACAAGGACGCGGGAAGCGCUAACUGAACUGCGAGUGCGAGUGGUUGACGGACCUGGUCCUCUGCUUCGGCAAGACCUAGGCGAGUCCUCGUCAAGUCUUUUCUCCACCGCUGUCUUGAGACCUCUGUUUAUCCACGGGCCAUGGAUAUACCCUCUUUGUUCUUGCUUGCUUUGUUCAGCAAUACGGUUUCCGUGUUGUGACAUAACAAUACUGUCAAGUGGAACCUAGGGCCUGUUUAGUUACCAGCGCAAAAACGCAAAAAAGCUGUAAACGUAGGAAUCUUACUAAUUUGAAGUACUAAAUGAAGUCUAUUUACAAAACUUUUUGCACGGAUGGGCUGUAAAUCGCGAGACGAAUCUAAUGAGCCUACUUAAUCCAUAUUUUGCAACAGUGAUGCUACAGUAACCAUCCGCUAAUUAUUGCUUAAUCAUGGAUUAAUUAGCAUCAUUAGAUUCGUCUCGCGAUUUACAACCCAUCUGUGCAAAAAGUUUUGUAAAUAGACUUCAUUUAGUACUUCAAAUUGACAAGAUUCUUUUGCAAAAAAUUUUUUUGCGUUUAUGCGUCCUGAUCUAAACAGGCCCCUAAGAAAUCGGAAAAGGAAUGCGUGCCUAUGGAAGUUCUUGCCCGCAAAGCUGAAUCUUACGCGUUUUCGGCUAUGUUUGGUACAGAUUGUGAACCAGCUUCUCAUCAAUUUUAAGUUGUGGGCUGCCCAAACGCUAGGCUUCUGCACCGCUUCCCCCGGCAACGCUUACCCACCUCCUUCACAAAACGCGCGUCGGUGAGCAGCGGGAACGGUCCAGCUUCUGCGGCUUCCGCCCCACGCGCCGGCCUCCGCCCUCGCGCCUCCGCCUCCGCCCCCCGCCCCCGGCCUCCGCCGCCUCCGCCCUCUGCCCCCGGCGCCUCCGCCCCGCCCCCGGCCGCCGCCUCCGCCCCCCGCCCCCGGCGCCUCCGCCUCCGCCCCCGACGCCGCGCCUCCGGCGCCGGCCCCCGCCCCCCGCGCCGGCCUCCGCCCCCCGCCCCCCGCGCCGGCCUCCGCCCCCCGCCCUCGGCGCCGGCCCCCCGCGCCCUGCGCCGGCCUCUGCCUCUUAAUUGUAUGAUUAAUUGUAUCAUUAUCUUAUUUAAGAGUAAUUUACGAUUAAUUUUAUAAUAUAUUAAUUGUUAAUAAUUUAUGAACAAGUUUCAGCUGUGCCAAACAGGGCCUGUGACCAGCUGCUUCUCUGGCCAGCUAGCCACCAGCUGGCUUCUAAAUAAGUUUCUGUUGUGCCAAACAGGGCCUUCGUGCCGCUGCCCGGUGCCCUGGUUGUAUCAUCCAGUCGUUUUUGGAUGAUUACUGUAUGGGUCAUUUUCGCGGAAUAAAACUUGAGUUGAAUAUUAGUUAUACAAAACUGUUCUUCAGAAAGAGCAAUAUAGUCAGAUAAGUUUGUAGUAUAACUUUGUCUCGCGAGUUAGUUCAAUUUGAACGGCAUUCCUUCAUUACAAGCCCUUCUUUUCUAGAAUACGUAAGAGAGGUCUUUCAUUUAAGAAAGAAAACUUCAAAAGGUACGGUGAACUAAAAAACAGAACAGUCAGCACCACACCAUAAUCGCGCUUGCUGUUGGUUAGACCAAAGGAACUUAGUUGGAUUUAAUCCCCACUUUGUCAGGGUUCAUAUUGUCCUACUGAUUAAAACAAUUCAAUGUGGCCUAGUGCCCAAGCAGAAGGAUGAAAAAUACAGUAAUAGGUUAAUAAGUUUGGGUCAGUCUCAAUGUUUUUGAAGAAUGACCAUUUCCUAAAGAUUACUGAACAUGUCCAUGGCUUAUUGUAUAUGAAUCGUGCAAAAAGAGGUAAGUUAAAGUUAUGUUACUAGCAAAACUUCAACUGCAUAUAACUUUUCUAUGGUAAAUAUGAUGGUAGUGUAAUUGUACCAAAUACAGAGGAAAUGAAUAUUAUUGGAAUUUCGUGACAUCACACAUGUGGUCAUCUUUCACGGAAAUUUGUGGCCGGUUAACAUGUUUAAAUGGAUUUGUAUGCCAGAUACCAAAUCGUCAACUCAAACAUCACCAGUUACCUAAUGACAGCUUCUCACUUUCAAUUUCUCCACUAUGCCGCCAGUUUCCUUUAAGCUUUGACUGCAAUUCAGCACGCAUCGUCAUUCCGUUUGUGGGCUGGUUUACUUUGUUGAGGCCCACGGCCCAUGCCUCUCCUAAACCUCUCUUCUACCCCGGGGCUUCGUCGGCGCGCCUCCUCUCAACCAGUCGAUCCCCAUUCCCCCACCGCCGCCGCCCUCCGAGAAAGGGAGGAGUCGAUGAAGUGCAGGGACCAUCAUAGUCGGCAGAUGCCCCUUUUGUGCAUAUGAAGCGUACUCGUGGUGCAUAUGUUGUACGGAAACAAAAAAGUGGUGGUGUUUCAAGGUUCCUGAAGUUGUAGGAGCCUCGGAAGACUUUGUCAUGCUGAGGGCUUUGUUGGAGCUGCGGUGGCUGGCUUUGGCACAAAUUCAACAGUGCCCCGUUCUGUAGGGUCUUGUCUGGGAGGGCUUGAGCUCAGGCCUGACGUCGAUGGAAACUCAAGUUCUGGUCCCAAACAGGUGGUGGUGCUGGUGCAACGGCCAAGCCAAGCUUGUUUCUUGUCACUCGAGGUUAAGCUACUACCGUAGUACGCGAGACAUAUUGACGGCGUGCCCUCUCACGAGUCACGCGAAUAGGAACCACUGUCUUUUCCACCGUUCUGGGAGACUGAAACUUCCUCCAUGUGUAUGCUUGUUAAGCUGUAACAUGGCUCGCACAAAGCUGUAGCCUGUAUGCUACAGAACUUUCUCACCACCAUGGCAGCUGCUAGCUUCGUGUCAUGAGAUAGCAAUGCUGCGACGAGACAAGGAGCACCACGGGCAGCGGUUGCACGAUGCUCGCGCGCCGCGAGGCCGGGCAUCCGCAGUCUGUCACGCAACGUGCAACGGUGUUCUAGCGGAAGUUGUGGGAGAACGGAGCGCCUGGGCGAGGUGCCGGCGAACAGGCAAAGGCGCAGAGGCACGGUCACGUUUCGGGCACGCCGCACGCGGCGGGGUUGUGGCCUGUGUGGGUCGGGGUUGGUCCCGGCUCGCGGGACAACGCAUGGUCGGCGAGCGGCGCGGCGACAGGGACGGCCGAGCCGGGCUGUUCCCAGCGCGGGAGGUAGGCUCCCGGCUCCGCUGCCGCUUUUCCCGGACUCGGGCUCCCGGAGGCCGGAGCUCCCUCACCGACCGCACCAAACACACAGCUACUGCCAUCCGCCAACCUGUACGCCCCCGCGCCCACGUCUCGUCGGCGGCGUCCGGUAGAUCUGCGGGCAGGAUGUACACGGACCCGUGCGCACGUGCCACGCACGACCAAUUCACACAGUCACAGGCUCACAGCGGAUGAAACCAGGACCGAGGACUGGGUGGAUCCGGGUCAGCGUUGCGGCCUCGGUAGCAGCGAUUUCUCGCAGAAUCAUAAACCGGCACGGUCAGUGCCAGUCUCGACGCUCCGAAAGGACACAAGCCGGGCGGAUCUGAAGGGGGCUAUGGGGAUAAGUCCUUCUAUCUUCCCGAGAUCGAUGAAUAUCCUCCUGACCUCCUUCUCUAUUUUAGAACAAAGAAUGAAGAAGAAGAAAGGAGGAAGAAGAAGAGAAGGGAAGGUAGAAAGAGAGAAGGACCCUCUCUUCUCCCUUAGCUGCUGUCGCAGAAGAGAAUCGCAAACCCUGCUGUGCAUGGAAGGCUCUUUGCUUUUCACAAAUCUGGAAGACUGGAACACGUACACAGUGUGAUAGCACUUGUAUUGUUAGAAAAAAAAAGAAGAGAAAAGGUGAUGAAAUUUUUAUGUUGAAAGAAAUUUAAAAAAGAGUAUAACAUUUGUUUGCACAGUUCUGAAAUAUUCGGUCAAAAGAUGCUGCGAGCCUGCAGCCCGCAGAGGGCGAAUUUUGGAGGACGAAAUGGCCCGUCCGCGAGCGAAAAGCUGAGCUCUGAAGAAAAGAGAGCCCUGCGCGUGAUUGGCACGGCGAAUGCUGCCUCUGCAUCGUGCCCGUGCCCGUGCCCUUUUCUUUCCUGCGACUUGCUGUCCGGCGACCCUUUUCAUUUCAAACGGUGGGAAAGGUGAAAGUAAAAAACAUGGGCGAAACAAUUUGAAUUCGCAUGUUCCCACGGCGUGAAAAAUGCAAUAAGUCUGUAUAGUAUUAUACUUGAUGUUUUCACCUUUUUUUCCCUCCAGUGAACCUGGCACAGAUUUCUUCAGUUUCUCGUUCCAUGGUACUGAAAUGUGUUCGGCGAAAAUGGAUUUGUGAAAUUCAGAUAGUAACAGGGUCUGUCUGACGGCACCUGCAAAUUCAGAGAGCUCAUGCAUGUCAGCAGUAGUACCGGCACAAAUUUGUAGGUAUGCAGGCCAGGGACUCAGACUUCAAAGUGGAUCUUUCCAUCUCAAAUAAAAAAAAGGGAAAAAAAAGGAACGAUUGGAUCUUUGUAUGAACAUGUCCCAUGUGUCCUACGACACUUGUAUGAUCCAAACGAUAGUUUAAUCGAACCACGCUUCCGGGAUUUUCAUUUGCACAUGCGUUCGGGGUACCGGACAGGGCUUGGAAAGGUGUUGCCAGUCUGAUUUACUUCAUCGGUGAAUUGGUUUGCAGUUGCAUUGCUUGUGCCAGGCAAGUGCCGCUCAUAAACAUAGGAAAAUGGGAGUGCAUCCUCCACAUUUCAGUAUUUCACCACUGGCUGGAGGUGAUAAACUGCUGAUUUCCUACUGAAGCGUUGAUCUAUCAAGCGGUGAAAUGGAUAUAGUAUUAUUCAUGAAUCCCCAUCCCCCAGGAGGCAAAAAAAUAACAUAAUGAAUUCUGCAACUUUGGGUCUUCUGUGGGGCAUGUCGGGUAACAUCUGUGGGACUACUUUUUUUUUGGAAUAAUAAUGUCUAGGUUCCUUAUAUACUUUAUUAUAGAAAUUUCAAUGCAGGUAUGUACCGUGAAAAACACGUGAUUCUGUUUUAUUAUUUUACAUAACACCGUAUUUUGCAUUUCAAAUCAAACAUGGCAUAAUCCACUUUCUAUAAUGCAAAAACGCGCGAAAACUUUUGGUAGAUUAUGUGCACUAUUAAAAUCAACACUGAAUAAAAGAAGUGGACCGCAAGAAUCACAUGAUGAUUAUAUGGAAAUUAUGUUUUGAGCAACUUAAUCAUGUAACAAGUUUACUCUUAGGUUUUUGAUAAAGCCUACUCGGAUGUCCAAAUUCCAUCGAGUUGUAAUUGCAUGUAUGGUACUUCUUUUUAUUCUUCCUUCAUCCCUCCAUAAGUUAGAUCCAGAAUGUUUCUAUUACUUUGAUUUUUGGCUACAAUGAAGAUCUCCAUUGGUUAUAAUUCAGUUGCUUCAACUCUUUUUUAGCUUUGCCCUAAUUUCCUAUAGAUAAUGUGUUUUCUUUUCUAUAUUUGGCACUACUCUGUUUGUAGCAAACACUUCUACCUACAUGCCAGUUUUAAACCAAUUAUCAAAAUUCACGGUGUUGUAUGCUCACCACCUUCUAUAGUAUUUUGUGGUACUAACCUGUCAUCCAGGGAGAACCUAUCUGGCAGUGACAAAAGGCAAAAGAAUAAAUAAUUGAAUAAGUUAAUGUAUGAUCACAUAAAUGGCCCAUUGACAACUUUCUCAAAUCAAUGACACUCUCUCUUCUCAUUUUCUCUCUUUUAGCUCAUAAUAAAUCUAAUGUGGAGAUAGCUGACUUGUUAUUGUUGGAGGAGAUCUAAAUGUGUCCAUGGAAUUUGUACUGAGAAAGACACCUUGAGUUUUUUAAAAUAGCGCCCACUACCUCCAAAGCUCAAUUUAAGAGUCCAACCAACCCACAGGGUGGCCACAGGGGUGUGACCGCAGAAACGCUGGCCUCCUGGCCUGGCCUGUCAUCCGCCGCUCCUCUGGAACCUGCACACUGCACACCUCCCAACUCGUCAGUCCUCACAGUCAUCACGCUCCCGCUACCACGCCUCCGACGAUCAAAAGCUCCGGUUUUGAUUCCUCCUCUGGUCCUCACCCACCUUUCUCACCUCCUUUCCCUGUUAAUUUUAUCCUCCGUGUCCCCUCCUCUCCAGGAAACUUAAUCGGAUCUCUCUGAGCUCUUGGUCAAUCGCUCGCAUUUCUUUACUAAUCGCCACUUCUCGGAGAGAUUAGUUUUUAAUGGCGCUUAUUAUGAAGUGUUUUGAAUUAAACCUCCGAGAAACAGAGGGAAGCUAGAGAGCCUCUAGAGGCCAGAGCCAAGAAGAACACGCUCAGGUACGCCGGACGCGAGCUCCGAUACCUCCUCGGAUUCCCUACGUGCUGCCGCGGGAGAGGGGAGAGAGCUUCCCGUUUCAUCAUCAUCUAUCACAUCGCAGGAGUGCUGCAGCACUCAAGUCUCCACUCUCCACUCCCCCAGUUCGUGCUCACUUCUAUUGUCGGGGGCGGCGGCGGCCGCCGCCGCGGUUCGUGCUGCUCCGCGGCGGCUUCUUGGUCCUAUCUCCGUCUGUAGCGGGUUCCUCCGUGCGCGUGUCUGGAAAGGAAGGAAGAAAGGGCUCUUCUUUGAGGACAAAAUCAGGUGGUGAUCUUCUCUUCCCUUGCUGAUUUUGUUCCCCUUUUUUCCUGUACUGUUGUUGAGAUUACGAUGUCGCCAUCUGUUGCGUUCUUUUGGAGCCUUGCGGCCUUUCCUGCUCGUGACUUUCUACCAACUGAGGUUCCUCUACAAAGGGGUGGCAUUUUAGCCGACAAACGGCGGAUGAAGUGUUCUUGAAGCCUUGUUCACAUGGUGCCUGAAGGAACUUCUAGGUGUUCAUUGAUCUCUGCCCUUGUUCUCUGAUGUUUCUAGUUUGAAGGGGCAUUCACAGUUCUCUGUUGUUCUGCCCAUGGUGGUUUAGUUCGUGAGAUUUUUUAGUGUAGGUUUGAAUUGUUCAUGAAUGUGUGGCGAUAGAAAUUGGGGAUCUUUUGCCCAUUUAUUAGCAGCAAAAGGUUUUGCCCAUAAUUCGGGGUGACAUUUUAAGUCGUGGAUUCAUUAGUUUAAAGACGUUAGCUCCACUGGACAAGUUUAUGGGACUGCCUGAAUAUCCUGUAAUGUAGUACCUUAAUGUUUUCUAGGCAUAUAUGCAAUUCUCUAGUUAAGAGUUGCUACAUACAGUAGUUUGUGUUCUUGUUAAAUGAACAAAAUAUUCACCUUUUUUUGUUGCUAUUUCAGCUUUGCUUGAGAGCUUCCGGAGUGUACCUUCUUCUCAGCUAAUCAGAUCCUUGGGUGCAACAAUAUGUCGCCCAAGCGACCACAGGGCGUGGUUAUGUUGUUAAUGCUCAUGGUUUUCGAUGUUUCAGGUACUCCGGUUCAUCAUAUUAGUUUGCAGUACCUAGAUAUGGUUUUAAACUACCAUAUCUUCAAACCAUAGAUAUGUUUCUAGGAUGAGUAGUGCAAAAAUUAUACUUCUGACUAUAGAACUAUGGUGGUGCAAAAAUCAUACUAUGUUCUACAUAGAUGUGCAAAAACAUUAUUUUCCGUAUUGUAGUACCUCAUUCUGAUUUUCCUGACUGUGUGGGAAACUAGUUUCACAAGGACAUUACAAAAUGUUGUUUUGAACUGAAAAAUAGGUUCUAAGAAUAUAUUGCCUAUAUUUGCAUGCAUGACAAUCAUCUCUGCAAUUUGUUGUAGGCGCAUUUGUUGGUAUCACUAUUGGCAAUGAUAUGUCAAACCUACCAUCAGCAACAGACAUAGUGGCUAUCCUUAAAGAAAAGAAGAUUCAACAUGUUCGUCUGAUUGAUUCAAACCAUCAGAUGUUGACUGCCCUUGCAAAUACUGGAAUAGAAGUGAUGGUUGGGGUUCCCAAUGAUCAGCUACUUCGUGUGGGGCAGUCUCGUUCCACAGCUGCUGAUUGGAUUAACAAGAACGUCGCUGCUUAUGUUCCAGCAACUAACAUCACAUAUAUCGCAGUGGGUGAUGAGGUUCUUACUAACAUUCCAAAUGCAGCCCUUGUUCUUGUACCUGCAUUGCAAUUCCUCCAAUCAGCACUGUUGGCUGCAAACCUCAAUAAUCAGGUGAAAAUCUCGAGUCCACAGUCAAUGGAUAUGAUCUCAAAGGCAUUUCCUCCCUCCACUGCCACUUUCAAUUCGACAUGGAACACAAUAAUGUCUCAGUAUCUUCAGUUUCUGAAGGAUACAGGAUCUUCAUUCAUGCUGAAUGCCCAACCAUACUAUGGCUACGUCGGAGGGCAAGGCGUAUUCCCCUUAGAGUAUGCACUGUUCCGCUCACUCAGUCCCAACAGUCAAAUUUCAGAUCCCAACACCAAUCUGUUCUAUACCAAUAUGUUUGAUGCAAUAAUUGAUGCUACUUACAACUCAAUCCAAGCAAUGAAUUUCACGGGGAUUCCUGUUCUGGUCACAGCUUCUGGCUGGCCAUGGCGUGGUGGGCCAAACGAGAAGGCUGCUACUGUUGAUAAUGCUUUGGCCUACAAUACAAACCUCGUACGUCAUGUACUGAAUAAUUCUGGUACACCCAGCCAACCAAUGAAUCAGUCCAGCACCUACAUCUUUGAGCUAUUCAACGAGGAUCGUCGGUCAGGACCUGUAUCAGAGAAAAGUUGGGGGAUUAUGUUUCCUAAUGCAACCACUGUGUACUCUCUAUCGUUUGAGGACGUGGCCACAACUAUCCCAGAAUCACCAGCUCUGCGUGGGAUGUUUUGUGUGGCAAAUUCAAGUGCACCCCAUAGUGCACUUAAGCAUAGUUUGGAUUGGGCAUGUGGCCCUGGCUCUGCAAACUGCAGUGCGAUUCAGCCUGGGCAACCAUGCUAUGAAUCAGAUAAUAUAGUAGCUAUUGCAUCAUAUGCUUUCAACGAUUAUUAUCAUAGAACACAAGCUAGUGGUGGUACAUGCAGCUUCAAUGGCACUGCAAUGAUAACAUCUACUGAUCCAAGUAAGCUGCAUUUUGCUCUUCUAUAAUUAAUAGGAUACAGUAGAUUUUUUUUGCACAAUUAUCGAUUACUUUGAAUGGGUUUCUUUAAUUACUUUUGUAGUUUUGUUGGCAAAUAAUUUAUAGUUGCCCUUUACAUCAGCGCUAAACCGACGUUUGAGAAGACCAAAUUUAGCACUGAAAUGUUUGAAGGGCUCAAGGUCCUUGUUAUGCAAAAUUUAACCCACCAAUUAUCUACCACAGCUGUUUUGAUCUGUGAUUUUUAUUGCACAAAAGCCCUAAUGUACUUCUGUUUUACUAUCAUUAGUCAAGAGUUCUACACUUGUAGCUAGCCAGCACUCAAUCUCUUGUUGAUCUGUUAUUGUGUUCCCACCAGCAAUGAGACAGUCCUAUAAAUGUACCCUACCCUGGAAAGCAAGCCCUACUUGUGCAAAUUUCUGUAGGGAACAUGUAAAUAAGCUGGCAAGCAUUUACCUUAGAUGUGUGUCCCAUUAGGCUAAGAGCCUAAGAUAAACCAUAUGAAGGGAUGUGGGGGUUAGUCAAACGAGGGUCAUAGCUCGAGCUGUUACAUCCUAUCAAAAGCAUAAGCAUUGUCCAAAUCACAAUACAAGAUAAAUAAUCUAUGGCCACAACAAGUUUCAUUAUCAUCUUGUGUUUUAUUUUAAUUUCAAGAAAUGUGUUUCUAGUUUAAAGAACUCACUUUUUUAUCAUUUUAAUUUAAUUUCAAGAAACCAAGGGUAGGAUUUUGUUGCUAAUAUCAAACCGUCGUAUAGCAUGUAAAUAACAUGAGCCUAAUCUGAAUUCGUGUAUUUCUUGCAGGCCAUGGCUCAUGCAUUUUCGCUGGAAGGUAUGUCCAAUGCACCAUUUCGUGUUAAAAGCUUCUAAGUUCUAUAAGCCUGUUUUGUGCUCUAUACUGAGAAUGUGACUUGCUCCUGUUUGUAGCACUGGCGCCAACGGCAGCGAUGGUGGUACAGCCUCCGGGCCUGUGAGCCCUGACAGUUUUGCUUCGAAAUCCCAAUCCUGCUGGUUGACUCACCUAGUAGCUGCAGUGCUGCUCAUUGUAGUGAUGUAAAACAUUGCAACCAUGUCGCAUUUUGGAUGAGAUACCCGUCAUUUAUCGUGGAUCUUGUCAUUAGAUACUGUAGGGGCGUAUUUGUUUUAGUGUACUCAUGUAGACGCCAUGUAAUCUUAUCCCCAAAUUUGUUGUCCUAGGAAUCAACAUUGCUAGCUGUGACAAGCAGCUUAUCUGGAAUGAUGGAAGUUCCAAUUUCCAAAUGAUCUGUACCCCCUGCAUAUGGUUUAAGUGGUCUGCUGCUGUUGUCUUUUUUUUUUCCUUUUCAAUUUUAGUGUUUUCGAACACUCGGCCUCACCGGAAAUGGCUUUGUUGUGGUUUGGACUUGAGGAAAAAAAUUGAUUCGUCGCGAGUGACUAACGGCCCAGUCAGGCCCAUAUUAACCCACCACCAGGUCCAUUCUCAGUUACCGUAAUGGGCCUGCUCAAUGGGAUUUAAAGCCUCACCAGGAUGGCGAGCCGGCCCACACGCUUUCACCCUCUGUCACUGCCGGCUGUCGCUGCGGCCAAUCGGCCAUGUCCUCGUCCUCGUCCUUCCCCGCCUCUCGCUUCCCCUUCGCCGCCGGCGGCGGGGCCCCCGGCGGCGGCGGCGGAGGAGGAGGUGGGAGCAGCUUGCGGCCGUGGGGGUCGAGCGGCGGGACGUCGGUUUCGUCUUCGGGGAAGCGGAUACAGAAGGAGCUGCUGGACCUCAACGCCUCCGACUGCUCCGCCGGGCCCAAGGGCGACAACCUCUACCACUGGCUCUCCACCAUCAUCGGGCCCCAAGGUAUGAGCUCCCUCCCCUCCGCUUCUCCAAUUGGUCGGAGACAGUUGAGAGCUCGUCGAAAUUUAACUGCGCUGGCGGAUGACAGUUUUACUUGUUCAAAUUGCUGCUUCUAUUUUUAGUGUAGGAGCAGAGUUUGGUUUGUACACUAACUGGGCUCACGAGUACGUCGCGGUUGAGUUAACGCAUCAUGUUAUGUCUUCAGGAUCGCCGUAUGAAGGAGGGAUAUUUUUCCUUGAUAUCGUGUUUCCCCCUGAUUAUCCUUUCAAACCUCCAAUGGUAAGGAUUCACAUUUCUUGUUAGCAUGUUCUUCUGGUUAACAUUGGUCUGCUGAAGUGUGGUGGGAAUCUUUGUUUAGUACAGAAACUUUUUGUGUCCUCAAAACUAGGCUCCAACCUGACAUUUCUCCACUUCUUGUUAUGUAUACCUUCCACCUAAUCCCUUGAUUCCUGGUUCGUGUACUCUUUUUGAAUGUACAAGUUUCAAGGAAUGUAUAUCACACCUGGUUGUGGUGACUAUUACUGCCGAAGUACUAGAAAGUAUUUUUAACAGAAAAUCAAGUGGGCAGUCAGAUCAGUUUGGCUGGUAAUAUUGUUCCAGUUCUAAUUCUGAUUGUUUUGCUCUUGGGAUCCUUAAUUUACUCAUCCAUGCAAACAGAGGGUUAUCAGAGCGAUGAACUUUAGUAUGCUUUAUAAAAUGCAUAGUGUCAGCUGUCCUGAAGCCUCAUAUCCCCAAAUUUUCUACAGCCUGGCUAUCACAAUACGGGCAAAUGUGAUUUUGAAACAGUAAUUUACGAAGAUUUUCUUUGGCCUAGAGAAAGAAAAGUACAUUCAGCUAUCUGUCUUGGAUGAAGGUUAAUCUAGAAGUGCCACACGACCACACCACUGGCAGGGAGGCAUGUGUUUGAUGACGAAGAGUGGAACUAAUAUGAAAACGAUUAUGCUAAAGACAGUUUUCUUUGCUGCUAAUUAAAGUUACCUUGUUUCUUCUAAAGAGGUUUUUGUACCUUUUCAUGUGAAGUACUGAUUUGUGAUGUUUUAUGUCUUCUUAGUAUGAUUUCGACAUAUGAAGAAAAACUAUCCUAAGUUUCUAGUUUACUGUUGUUGUUUUUUUAAAGAAAGAAAGAAUGCAGAGCUGCUAAGGUAUUGUUUUUGUUCUGGCUUGCUUCAAUUAAUACUUUUAAUACUUCCCUGAGCAAAAGAUACGGUAAAAUUAUUUUUAUUCAGGGACAGCCUUACUAUGGUAACAUGUACUUUUGACAUCACCUCUUAUCAUGUGGUGGCAUAUUGUUUAUCUUGGCUUAGAAUAUAAGAAAGUCUGGCAAUCUGCUAACUGAGGGAAGUGAGUCCACUCAUUCCUGUUAUUGAUAUUUAUUUGUCACUAUCCGGCUGCUAGCCAUAGCCAAAAUUACCACCGACACAUUUCUGGAGGAUGCCAACACCACCACCAUCUAUUUCCUAUUAUUACUUGCUGAGAUAUGAGGGACCAGAAACAGCCAGCCUCCGUUUUAGCUUUCCACCUACCACUCAAAACCUUCAGCGGCACAGUUUUACCCUGAUCAGCUAAUGAAACUAUCCGUGCAGCUAAUACAGGCCACGGCAACAAUCACACUAAAGCUGUUAAAGAUAUUAUAGUAUUAAAAAUAUUUUUGAAUGUUGCCCAUCCUAGCUUGCUUUGGACUAAAAGGUUUUGUUGUUUUUUUCUUGUGUUCUUGAAAUAUCGUUUCAAUGUUCUAUGAUGUGAUUAUCAGAUCUAUACUUAUGUAUGGUAUAUGUCUGUAGCGUUACAGUUACAGGCAAUGUUAAUCAUGACUUUAUAUGUCACAUGUUAAUAGUUGAAAGUUUUCACAAAUUAUUUUACUCUUCAAGCUGAAUCUAUUAAAAUUGAGUAGUUUGGAAUUGGACAAUUUAGCUUCAUAACUCCAAAUUUGUGUUAUGCUGGUAUUCUCCCAGGUAACUUUCAAAACAAGGAUUUACCACUGCAACGUUGAUGCCACUGGUAAAGUGCAUUUGGACAUUCUGAAGGAUGGCUGGAGUCCAGCUUUUACUAUUUCAAAGGUGUUGCUGGCCAUCAAAGACAUCAUCAGCAAUCCAGAUCCAUGUAUGUUCUUAUCACUUUCUGUACUACCUUAUGUAAACAGUCGUGGAUUCUGGUGCAAAUUAAGUCUACUGUCUAUAUAGUUUUACUUUGCUUUACUGCUCAAAAGCCUUAUGUUAUGAUCUUUAUUUGUGCAGACACCCCGCUUGUGAUGAACAUUUCACGUCAGUAUCUAACUGACAGAACUAAACACGAUGAAAUAGCAGCUGAGUGGACAAUGAGGUUUGCAAGAUAGAGAAUUCUGUCUGUAUCUAAGCAAUAUUGACCUUGUAAAAGAAUAAUCCUUAAUGUGGCCUGAGAUGUAGAAUGUUGGCAAAGGACCCACGUUUUGUUUAAUCUGAGUUGUGACAUAAAGAUGUACUUUAUGCUUGAGGUUAUCUAGUUGCUUCUUUUAGGUGCAGAAUUGUCUUUUUUGAUUUUGCAUUUCUGCCAAAGUUGCACAAGUAACUCUUCAGAACCUGCUAUCUGAGCUAAUUAGUUUCUCGAAAUUCUUUCUGUUGAAACUGGCAGCAGUUCCUAGUUGAGGAUGCCCGUUUCCUAUACUGAAAGCAAAAAUACCUAAGAUACUCGGAAAUGUUCAGUGACCGACAACUGUUAAUGUUACAAUUGUGCAAAUGAUCGAUUAAUUUUGUCCAGUCAAAGUAGUUAAAGCAUGUCAUUCAAAUCUUUCACUUGAAACCAAAUCCUGCUGGUGGUGUUGUUGGACAAGGCUUCAGUUACAAAGGUAUUUUCCCUUCCAGAACUUUGUCCCUAGUUCAUAGGUGUUUCUUGGACAGAAUAAAUGUCAUAUUGCCAUCCAACAAAGAAUGAUCAUGUUUUAAAAGCUAACUGCAGAACAAAGAUAUCAGAUGUUUACGGCAGAAUAAUGGUCACUUGCCUACUGCUGCUAACUUGGAUCUCACUUCAUGUAGGGAUGAAAAGCUACUGGGACAGCUACUGAUCUUACAAAUGACCAAACUGGCCUUCACCUCUGAAAUGGACGCCUCACCAAUUCACUGAUUCCCAGUACGGACUGUUCAAUUGAUCACAUCUGGCGACCUUAUAACUACUCCAUCUAGAGAAGAAGAUGCAAAGCAACUCUUUCUGGUGGUCUCUCUCCUCAGACCACAGACCAUGGCCACCGAGCUAGAUGUGAGCAAGUCCCGCCGUUUCGACAUUGCAAUGUCGAGGCGGACACGGCGACCCACGAGCCUGGUUGCUUGUUUCCAAGAUCAGUAUGGGCCAUCCCUGGCGCAACAUCGCCACCAAGAGCUGAAGGCAUUUCUUGAAUGCCAAGAUGCAGGGCUGAAGGCACUCCAACAUUAUGAGGAUGCAGAGCAUCUGGCACCGUGUCUGGAUGAAGAUGAGGAGCGGAAGUUUCCACAUGCACCACUCCAGUAUGAAGAUGGGGAGCUGAAGAUUCCACAAGCACCACUCCAGUAUGAAGAUGACGAGCAAAAGACACCAGAGCAAUAUCAAGAUGAGCAGGAGAAGAAAUAUCAGCAAUAUUCAGGUGAAGAGCAGAAGAAACCAGAGCAUUAUCAAGGUGAAAAGGAGAAGAAACCAGAGCAGCAUAAAGAUGAAGAGGAGAAGACGCCAGAGCAGUAUCAAGGCGAAGUGCUGAUGACACCAAACCAAUUUGAAGACGAUGAGGACACGGCAGCAGAGCGAUACCAAGACCCUGAGCAAGAGGCACCUCAACAACGCCAAGAAGCAGAUGAGAAGGCGUCAGAGCAGUCUGAAUAUGAUGAGGAGCAGCAGAAGGCACAGCAGGAAUGCUGCAACACAGAGCAGAAGGAGACGGAGCAAUUCCAAGGCUUGAAGAAGCUAGGAACGCCACUGCGUGCUGUCGACAGUGUGCCCCGGUUCUCCCUUCAGGAGCUGAUACAACAGAAGCAGCUUCAAACCGGAGAGGCAAAGCCUGCCAGCAAGCAAGCCGGACAUGGGGAAAGUGUCCUUCCUGACCAUAAGGUUUCCGGAUCAGGAGCAGCAGCAGGCGGCACGACACUGGCCAUGGUGAUAAAGCGACCCGAGGGCGGGAAGAAGUCGAUGGGGAUGAUACGGCGGUGCGUGAAGGCCCUGAACCAGAUGAUCAAGACCAAGCACGGGUCUAAGAAGAACUUGCAUUUGUAAUUUGAACAGAAUUCAGCAGUACAUGAUGAUGAGUACGUGUGGUCCAGACUCGAGAGUUUCUUAGUGGACUGCACAUCUCUGAAGAAUGCGCACGCAGUUGUACUGUACCAAGUUUUGGGCAUAAUUCAGAGUGUGCAAGAUCUGGUAAGAAACUCCGCAGCCAUACCGGGCUUUUUACGCUCCGGUCUAUACCGUCUACCUAUAGCAAUAAACUGUGAAAUUUAGCUGAAGAUCGCCAGUCUGUUACUACUUUGUUAUAAGAUGCUCUACUCACUGAAGUUGUACACUAUUUGCUCGACGAUGUAAUGGGUAAAAUGUCAAAGGAGUCGAGAUUAGGCUCUGAACGCGUGUGUUGUUGACUUCCUCUGCGAAGCUUCUUUUAGAAGUGUGAUCGUGAUCACAAAAGGGAAAUUGGUCGGUUGUACCGACACUUCUCCCCCAGGUCAGCAGUGGUUUUGGUGCAGGAUCCCUUUCUUCCUUUUUUUGUGUCACGUCCCGUUUCGGUUUGGUGUAUGAUAAAUGCUGAGAGUACAAGUUAGAUCAAAAGAAAAAGGUGGAAGAUCUGAAGCCUGUGAAGUGUCUUGAGUUCUUUGUUGAGGUCUUGAGGAUGUUGUAUCACAUGGUAUGCCAUCACACGCCUUGUUCCUUUAUAGUUGCUCUGAAUUUGCUCGGUUUGAAAAUGUGCACUGUUGAGGUUGGUACUGCAGGACGUGUUCAUGAUCUAAAAAGAUCUGCUACGAACUUUUAUGAAACUGAAAUUGAACAAACAGUUUUCCCCCUUAGCACCAUUAGCUCACACCAUAUCAUUUUUUUCUCCUUUUAGAGACAAUAUAUAUUCUCACACCAUAAGCGCAGGAAAUCUGCGUGGCACACGAGCGCCUCGCCGAUAUUCGAUACGACCAGAGACGUGCGUACAUGCGGUGGUGGAGCUAGCAGUCAAUUCAAGAGAGACGAUUGCUACAGUAUAUCGUGCCUAUUGUUUAGUAUUAACGCCUGUUCUAAAUAAAAAUUAUAAACUAGAAAAUAGAUGAUUUUUAGGAAGCAACUUUUAAGGUUUAAACUUCAGAAGAAAAAAAAAUAAAAAAGCAAAUCUGAACUAUACAAUAGGUAAGCAGACAAAACUUACAAAAAAGGGACGGGCUUCCCUGCAUUGCACCAGAAGGGAGCAGGGCUCGAACCCGAAGCAGACAAAACUGAUGAUUAACUGAUACUAAUAUUGACUAGCGCCGGAAUAGAGUAGUACUAAUAUCCAAACUAGCAAAUGAGCUACAUGAUGAAAGUCAAAAUGCAUAUAAGAAUAUAAAUGCAUGCAGCCAUACAGAUGCGUAGAAGUAGUGCGCAUGCAAUAAAUAUAGACUUCUAUGUUUUAUACAUAAUCUGCUGCAGAUAUAUCAAACAAAAAUUACUGGUUCGUACAUCCUUUAAAAAUUUAUCCUGGAGGCCGGAGCCCACUAUAGGCCCCUGAAGAGGCUCCGCCAGUGCCUACAUGGCAGCAGCCAAUGGGGCGCCUCCCACUGAUUUUUGUCAGCUCUCAGCCAGUGGCGCCCUCCACGUCAGCGCAAUCCGGCGUGCCGGAGCCAGACGAGUAGAUUCUCCGCGCCGCGUGGCGCCAGGCGGCCGCGCCCGCUAUCCCCUCGCGGAUAAGCCGGCCCCGCCCCGGCGCGCGCCCGCCGCGAGAUCCCUUAAACCUGCGGCGCGCGCGCCACCUGCCACACAGCAGCUACCGCGCCACAAGCUUUCGUUGCCAUGGCACUCGUCUCCGCCUCCUCCUCCUCCACCACCGCCGUCGCGGCGCUCCCCAGGAAUGGGCAGCGGGCGCCGUCCUUCCUCGGCGGCAAGACGCUGCUGAGGCAGGCCGAGGCGGCGCGGCCGUCGUUCGCCGUGCGCGCCGCCGCGGACCCCGACAGGCCCAUCUGGUUCCCCGGCAGCACCCCGCCGCCGUGGCUCGACGGCAGGUCGGUUGAUUCCUGGAGCUCUGUAUUCGUUCAAUUGUCUGAAAAAAGCCAGCUGCUUCAGCUUGUGUGUGACUCUGACAGUGUUCUUUGCCUUGUUGAUGCAGCCUCCCCGGCGACUUCGGCUUUGAUCCCUGGGGCCUCGGUGAGUUCUGAUCCCCGAUCAAUCUCUUUCUCCUGUGCACAUACAAUCUCUGAGCCGAGCGAUGUAAUUAACUGUCCACGCAUGUGUGCUGGCGAUUCUGUGUGCAGGAUCUGACCCGGAGAGCUUGCGAUGGAACGUGCAGGCGGAGCUGGUGCACUGCCGGUGGGCGAUGCUCGGCGCGGCGGGCAUCUUCAUCCCGGAGUUCCUGACCAAGAUCGGCAUCCUCAACACGCCCUUCUGGUACACCGCCGGCGAGCAGCAGUACUUCACCGACACCACCACCCUCUUCAUCAUCGAGCUCAUCCUCAUCGGCUGGGCCGAGGGCCGCCGCUGGGCUGACAUCAUCAAGCCCGGGAGCGUCAACACCGACCCCAUCUUCCCCAACAACAAGCUCACCGGCACCGACGUCGGGUACCGCCUCUCGCUCCAUGCAUGAUCGAACCAGCAAGAAAACAUUUUCAAAUACUCAUCUAGAGUCAAUGGCUAACGAUGAUUCGCCCGUGCACUGGAAAUGUAAUCAAGGUACCCUGGUGGCCUGUGGUUUGACCCGCUCGGCUGGGGCAGCGGCUCGCCGGAGAAGAUCAAGGAGCUGCGCACCAAGGAGAUCAAGAACGGCCGCCUCGCCAUGCUCGCCGUCAUGGGCGCCUGGUUCCAGGCCGAGUACACCGGCACCGGCCCCAUCGACAACCUCUUCGCCCACCUCGCCGACCCCGGCCACGCCACCAUCUUCCAGGUCAGCUGAAUCAAUCCACAUUAUAGCAAUACCCCAUAGCUUUGAUAUAUAUACGAUUUGGUUACUGAUUGGUGAUUUUUUUUGUUGUGUUCUUGAUCAGGCCUUCACCCCGAAAUGAGGAGUUGGAGUUAGCGAUCUGAGAUUGCAACGACGCAUGCAUGGUGGUGGAGAUUGUUAGGUUGAUGGUCGAUCGAUGCGACUCUUUUUUCUUUUUGUGGGGCGGGAUAGACUGUCCAUGAUGAUUGAAUGGUUUGCGGAGCGAUGCAUGCCUGUGUGAUCCUGUACUUGUACUAUGUUGUAACCAAUGUAAAAAUGCAAUACUCGUUAGAUGCUAUGCUCUUUCACCGAAUCAACGACUUGAUGAUUUGUGCAAUGCUCGCGGUGAUGAUGUUAAUGGCGUUGUGCACUAGGUACGCGAACGCUGAUAGGUUGCCCAAGAAAAAACGUUAAGAACGCAAGUAGAAAUAUGAUGUCAGUAAUGCUCAUAUGUGGCCUUGUUGGGCCAUUUCGCCAUUGGGAUCUGGGCAUGUCUGAAGCCGAACCACAUUGAGAGAGAGAGAGAGAGAGAGAGAAAGAUGAUCGAAUUCCAAUUGAAAUUCAGAUCUACAAAUGCCAGUUAUAGAUUUUUUAAAUUAUUGGAUUGGUCCAAUAAAUUAUAAAAUAAACUAGAAUGAUAUUUUAUUUUAUAGGGGCAAUGAACUAGAGUAGUAUGAGAUCGUAAUUAAUUAGAUUCGGAUAAACAACAAUUAGCCGCGGCUCCCUUCACCCAAUUAAGUUUUUUUUUCAUGUGGCCCAAAGCAGCUUAGAGCAAACGGUGAGGAGCAAGCUUGGGAUAUCUAGGAUUUUUUUUUUUACUUUCAAGUAGACCCCAUACUAUUUUUUAUCCAAGGUUUGAUGCAAAUCUUUGGUUACACGGCUGUAUGAAUCAAAUCAACGCUUGGAGAAAGCCUACUUGAGUCGAUUUUUACGUUUUCAAUCAUUAGAGUCUUAUUUAUCUGUUAUUCGCUUAAUUUUACAUUCAAUCUUAUGAAGAUUUUCUGCAUACAAAUUUAUCGCUUUAUUCGCUAAGAAUAUGCUGCUACGUUAUUUGGUUGGGAAGACGAUGGAAAAGUAUAGCAAAACUUCUGUCGCUUCAAGUUUCGCUUAUUUUCGAAAUAUCGGCAUUACGGGGGGGUCUAACGCGAAGUUUGACCGCUCAACUUUCCCUGCAAGAAUGGAUCGCGAGACCCCAGAAGAGUAGACAGAAGACAAAGGAAGCCGAGGGGCACCAUCCCAAAAACCUGAAAGAAAUUGAAUCGAGUUGGGGAGAAAAAAAGGAAAGGGGGACGAGCACGCGCCGCCACCAGCACCGCGCCCGCCAUGGCCGCCGCCUCCUCCCGCCGCGCGUCGCAGCUGCUGGGGUCCGCCGCCUCCCGCCUCCUCCAUGCGCGGGGCUUCGCCGCGGCGGCCGCCGCCGCGCCCUCGCCGGCGGUCUUCGUCGACAAGAGCACCCGCGUGAUCUGCCAGGGCAUCACGGGGAAGAAUGGCACCUUCCACACCGAGCAGGCCAUCGAGUACGGCACCAACAUGGUACGCCUCCCCGCCGCUGCCAACCCCUGCCUAUCUCCCUCUGAUUUGCGCCCUCGAUCCGUGCGUUCCGUUCUGUGCUGCGCGAUUCUAGGGUUUGACAGAGUCCGUCAUGUCCAAUCUGGUGGGCGUGCGGUCGCCGAUCUUCAUUUCCUCGGGUCCUACGGUCUCGUUUCGCAGCCUUACGGUCCGAUCCAGAGCGAGAUACCAGCAGAUUACUCAUCUCUUAUACCCUAUAUAUUUUCUCUCUCCGUCACCAAUAAUACUUUUUACGUUUUUGGUAGUCAGUGCUGUAGCAGAUUACUCAAAGGAUAGGGUGGAGUGAGGAAUCCCCUACAUUUGUGCAAGAGGGAGGUGUGUUUUGUCGAUUACAAAAAAUAUUUUGGUACUGGUGAUGGAAUUGGUAAUCUGCUGGAGCACCUCCCAUUACUAAAAGGACAGUUUUUUGGUACUGGGGAGAGGGAUGAGUAAUCUGCUGGAGAUGCUCAGUACGCUUACCUGGAUGAUAUUGCCUUGUUGGAGGCAAAAUGUGUGCUAUUAUAAUUGCCUUUUUCUUUUCGUGGAUAGUGCUAUUAUGUGGUAUAAUGCCUGAAACUGUAAGUGAAGCAGCAGCAAUGCCUAGGUUUCAUUAUCAUUUGUUGAGUUGAUUGAAUGCUGGUGAUGAAUGUUUAUUUUCAUUGUCUAGUAGUUUUCAGCGCUGUUCACCAUGCAAUCUAGCGGCAGCAUUUGUCAGUUAGAUGGGGAUUAGUGAUUUAUGUGCUGUGACUUAAGAAAAUGUCGUCAAAGUAUACAAUGUUUUGAUGGAUUUCUUGAUGUUUUAUACGGCCAACAUGCAAAUUAAUUGGAAUUUUUUGAGGUUAUGAGAAUCAUAUCCAUCAUGAAUGCACUGAAACCUUUCAAGCUGUUUUAGUACAAUCUAACACAAAUAUCAUGUAUGAAGAUGCAAUCAUUCCUCAGUAAUGGGAUCGAAGCAAGUUUUGUUUCUUAUCUGUUUUAUGUAAAUGGGCUGCAGUCCUUACACAAGGAAAUUGUGACAUAGGAAGAAGGAAGUAAGGAAGUCAGCAUGUUGAAGUCUGUGAUGUUUGGUACGAUAGGUUCCCUGGACCUGGCAUGAUGCUUGGAGGUCUCAUCAUAUUCGAAUCUACAGUUAUAUUCUUGACUAGUAGAUUCAUAUAAUUAACUGUGCCACAACAAAAGAAUUGGCUCAGAUGCAUUUUUUUUUCAUGUCAUGUGGUGUUGUACUAGUAUUAUUAUGAAUAGUUCAAUACAGCUGAAAGGAUUCAUGCUGCACAAUUUUUUUGGGCAAUGGAUUUAUAUAUUUACGGUGUUUAAGUAAAUAAGUAUUAUAGCUUUUGAAUGUAAUAAUUUUGAUUUUUUUCUUGUAUUUUGUGGACCUCUUUUUUUAUUAAGGUCAUUUUUUUUGUUAUAACAGGUGGGUGGAGUGACUCCUAAGAAAGGUGGAACUGAACAUUUAGGGCUCCCAGUGUUUAACUCUGUAGCCGAGGCUAAGGCUGAAACAAAGGCCAAUGCAUCUGUUAUAUAUGUUCCACCACCAUUUGCCGCCGCCGCUAUAAUGGAGGCAAUGGAGGCUGAGCUCGACCUUGUUGUCUGCAUUACAGAAGGAAUUCCUCAGCAUGACAUGGUAAUUUUUGCCAUUUCAUUACUUUGUUAGUUAGAGCAUCUCCAACAGACUUUAUAUCUUUAGGAAUAGAGAUUUUGUUUAAAAAAUUACCUCCAACAGCCUCUUCAGUUGGAUAUCUAAAUAUAGACCUCCUCUACUCUGGAUUUGUCGCUAGCCAAAGAUGGAGAGCGAGAAUUGCUCUCUAGACUACGCACAAGAUAUAGAAAAGCUGUUGGAGAGUACAAAGAUAUAGAAAAUAAUUUUUACUCAAAUGACUCUCUGAUUGAUGAUUUAGAUAGUAGAUUUUAGAAAGGCUCUUGGAGAUGCUCUUACUAUCAUCCUUUGUCUUCUGAGCUUGGGAAUCUGCUCAAUACCAUAUCAUGUUUGGUUUACUUAACUGUACUUGCAAAUUACUUUUUUUUUUGGCAAAAGCAUUAGAAAAUAGUGUGAGUGUGUGGUCAACAUCAUCUUGCGCAGGUGGAUAUGUAGUAUGUUAUUAUUCUCUAGUGGGCAGGGUGAGAUCUAACUUUUGUUAAAUAAAGUAUGUGAUCCAAAGACACAGAUUUUACAAGCAUAGUCCGUUUUAGCAGUUUGCUUGCUGAUAUUCCUUUUAUGAUAUUUUUUCCCUACAUAUUGCUAUUACCUAUUAACUUGCGUCACAGCACAAUUAUUCUAUUUUACUUUGUUAAUGGAACUCCAUGAGGUGACAUCAAUGUUCCCUUUGCCAAUUUUAGGUGAAGGUGAAGGCUGCACUAAACAAGCAGUCAAAAACUCGAUUGAUUGGGCCGAAUUGCCCUGGUAUCAUUAAGCCUGGUGAGUGUAAAAUUGGUAUCAUGCCAGGUUACAUCCACAAGCCUGGGCGUGUUGGGAUCGUAUCUCGUUCUGGUACCUUGACAUAUGAAGCGGUAUGUCUGUUAUUAUUAUUUUUUUAUGUAUGCAUGUAAUCAGGUGAUUUGUUUGACUAAGUUGCAUUUGAUUUUUGUUGACAGGUGUUUCAAACAACUGCUGUAGGCUUGGGGCAGUCAACUUGUGUAGGCAUUGGUGGUGACCCAUUCAAUGGCACAAAUUUUGUUGAUUGCCUUGAAAAGUUUGUUGACGAUCCUCAGACAGAAGGUACACCUAUUGUGACUGAUUCUUCACAAUUUUAAGCAAAAAACUUUCUAAAAAGAAUAGCUGUGAACUGCGUACUCUUCUAUGUGGAAUUAAUCCCAUAUAUUUGGUAUUUUUGGCACUUGAAUGCUUCAACUACAUUAUUUGUUUUUUCAAUACUAUCUCCAUAUGCCUUUUUCAGUCAACACAGUUCCAUUCCAUUUAUGGAUUGUUCUCACUGUUGGACAAUAUUCUGUGCCUUUCAGGUAUUGUUCUCAUUGGUGAAAUUGGAGGUACUGCUGAGGAGGAUGCUGCAGCAUUCAUCCAGGUAAGAGUUUGUCAGUACCAUCAUAUAUUUAGAUUCUUUUUUUCUUCUGAAUGACAUAUUUACAUGCCAUGGUUCUGUAUUGAUUCUGCACUCUGCAACACCAUUCCCUCAUGAGCUAGUGAAGUUUCAUGCAGUUCAGUCUUGAGCACUUUUUCAGUGUCAUAGGGACACAUUUCCCAUUGUUCUUUACGGAAGGCAAUUAAGCUAGAUGCCUGGACCUUGAUUUAGCUUGAGCAUAUAUGCUUACUCAGCCCUAGCUUUAAGCUGGUCCCACAAUUCCUAUGCAAGCUCUGGGUUGUGGCCCACAUUUUCGCUAAGUAGGCCAUCUUAUCCAUCUGGUAUGUGCAUUCAGUUUAGUAAAAACCCUUGUGGCUACCUACUCUUGCCAUAGACCUAAAGUAGUUGCUAUGAACCAAAGAAGUUUCAUGUGACAUGGAGUGACUUCAUGUAUGUGGUCAGGUUAGAAGUUUAAGUAACUAACGCCCUAUGGGUUCGUUUGUCUUAUGAAGGGAGUUAUCAUUAGUUGCUGCAGACAUUACAUCUCAUAACCGCUUGUCUUCUGGCUUGGUUCUGGAACUUCUUUUUUCUGUCUCUUUUUUUUAAUGUUUUGCUGAAUUAAAUUACAUUUUCCAUCUACUAACUUCAUCUGUUAUGCUCCUCAGGAAAGCAAAACACAGAAGCCUGUUGUUGCAUUCAUUGCUGGACUUACGGCACCCCCGGGCCGUCGCAUGGGUCAUGCUGGAGGUAUUACCUUAGCAAGACCUUCAUUCUUUUAAUUUGAAUCUUACAUAUUUUUCCCCAUUCGAUUGUGUAACACUUUGAAGUAUGAAGUCGAAAUGGUCAUCGCAUUUUAUUUGAGUUAAGAUAUGCCACUUACGUGUCACAAUUCUACUCUCUCUCUCUCUCUCUGGAGAUCAAUUUACUAAAUGUCCUUAUCAAAAUUUUUUUUACUAAAUGCCUGGAGACAACAAAAGAUACUUAAGCAAUUUAUGAGACUAUACAUGAAUAACAAAGCCCUUUAGUCCCAAGCAUGUUGUGGUAGGCAAAUUUAUACAUGUCUACCAAUUUGGAGAAAUUCUUUGUUACUACUGUGACAUUCAUCAAACUUGCUCUGGCAACCUGGUUUGCAUUCUUGAAUACACUGUAAUCACCAACUCACGGUAGUAUGCUAAAAUGGCUUUAUCUGCCCAUUCCGAUUUUUAUUAUACUGUUAGAUAUUAAUAUGCUUAUUUUCCUAAUUCAGUUUCAUUCCCUUUUUACCAUGUUACAUGUGCUAAUAUAGUUCCAUGCCAUCCUUGUUACGCAGCAAUUGUAUCAGGAGGAAAGGGUACUGCCCAGGACAAAAUCAAGGCACUCAGAGAGGCUGGUGUCACUGUCGUCGAGUCACCAGCGAAGAUUGGUUCUACCAUGUUUGAAAUCUUCAAGCAGCGUGGGAUGGUAGAAUAGAGGGACGAAAUGGUACAGUUGAGAAACAUUGGAAAACCUCUUUUUGAUGCUCGUUGGGUAAUUGCGAGCCAUUCCUUGGUAGAGCCGCGCCGGCCACAAAACAAAACCACUCAGGCUUCCUUUUCUUCCUUUAUUGUCUGCUGUGUGCACAAGGAUCCUUACCAUGAGCUCAUUUCAAUAAGACAUUCUGGAGGUCAUGGACAUGAUGUUUUACUUUGGGAGUCAAUGUGGAUGCCUAAGCUGUUUAAAUUUUUUUAACGUUUGACAAUGUUUUCAAUCUAGGUUUAUUGAUCUGUUGGCAUGUCCUCAGUGCACAUUGUAUUAUUUAUACAUGUGUAUAACGUCAGCGGAAAAUUGUGCGCACAAGGCUGCCGGAUCAACCGCACAGCUGACUGCUACUGAAAAUUUGCAGAUUUUGUCACAGUAACAAUAGUUGCCUCAAAUUGCUACUUCGUUGCUUUGAUUAAGCUACUUAGCCGCAUGCAAUUGGUGUAAUGUUUAAUGGUAUUAUGUCCCGGCGACUUUUUAGGCUGGCUUAUCAACCUCAUCGUGCUGUCGCACUAGCCGACUGUCUAUUCUUGCACAUGAAAGGCUAUAAAGACUACUAUGUUGAGGAAAAAAAUGUAUGCCAUGGGAAAUGUUGAGAACAGUGUGUUAUGUGAUGUCAGGAGUGUGUUUAAUCUUAGAACUGUGUUGUUUGGUUGUCCUAAUUUUUGCUCUUUUUUUUCAUUUGUGCCUUAAGUAAUGUAUGGAGGUGGCGCUUGUUACCAAAGACCUACCCCAACUCCGUUGAGUGAGUAUAGAAGUGCUCCAGCUGUUUACUUCAAAAAAAA